UGAGGAAUAUUGGUCAAUGGGCGAGAGCCUGAACCAGCCAAGUCGCGUGAAGGAAGAAGGAUCUAUGGUUCGUAAACUUCUUUUGCAGGGGAAUAAAGUGCGGGACGUGUCCUGUUUUGUAUGUACCCUGAGAAUAAGGAUCGGCUAACUCCGUGCCAGCAGCCGCGGUAAUACGGAGGAUCCGAGCGUUAUCCGGAUUUAUUGGGGUUAAAGGGUGCGUAGGUGGUUUGAUAAGUCAGCGGUGAAAGUUUGCAGCUUAACUGUAAAAAUGCCGUUGAAACUGUCGGACUGGAGUGUAAAUGAGGUAGGCGGAAUGCGUGGUGUAGCGGGGAAAUGCAUAGAUAUCACGCAGAACUCCGAGUGCGAAGGCAGCUUACUAAGCUACAACUGACACUGAAGCACGAAAGCGUGGGGAUCAAACA
RNAcentral lists this ribosomal RNA (422 nucleotides) under uncultured prokaryote. Its description in RNAcentral is "bacterial SSU rRNA". It matches the Rfam family "Bacterial small subunit ribosomal RNA", at positions 355 to 774 of the family's 1533-position model. The record is from RNAcentral.